Molecule: ribosomal RNA, 230 nt
Filed under: uncultured bacterium
Lineage: Bacteria
Description: partial 16S ribosomal RNA
Rfam family: Bacterial small subunit ribosomal RNA
Source: RNAcentral
AAAGCGUGCGCAGGCGGUUUUGUAAGUUUGUCGUGAAAGCCCCGGGCUCAACCUGGGAAUUGCGAUGAAGACUGCAAGGCUUGAAUCUGGCAGAGGGGGGUAGAAUUCCACGUGUAGCAGUGAAAUGCGUAGAGAUGUGGAGGAACACCGAUGGCGAAGGCAGCCCCCUGGGUCAAGAUUGACGCUCAUGCACGAAAGCGUGGGGAGCAAACAGGAUUAGAUACCCGGGU